AGAAUCAACACCUGUAACACUGUCAUGUGGUAAAUCAAGAUGGUCAACAACAACAAGUUCUAAACCUACUGAUGAUAUAGAAACAUCUUUCACAGAAAGUAUAACGACACCCGGUGAUGAAUCUAACCAAACAACAUCUGGUAAUGAAUCUAACCAAUCAACAUCCAGUGAUGAAUCUAGCCAAACAACAUCGGGUGAUGAAUCUAGCCAAACAACUUCCGGUGAUGAAUCUAGCCAAACAACAUCUGGUAAUGAAUCUAACCAACCAACAACACCAAUGUCUGCUAGUGAAUCUAUCCAACCAACAUCUGAUAUGGAAUCAACAACACCAACAUCUGGUGAUGAAUCUAGCCAACCAACAUAUGCUAGUGAAUCUAUUCAACCAACAUCUGAUAGCGAAUCUAACAAACCAACAACAACAACACCUGGUAGUGAAUCUAACCAACCAACAACACCAACAUCUAAGAAUGAUAACUCGAUGUCUGGUAUAAUUGGUGGAGCUGUAGGAGGAUUAAUGGUGAUAAUCAUCAUCAUUAUUAUCAUAGUAAUCUGUGUAAUACGUAAACGGAGAAAAGACAAGAAUUAUGAAAGUCCAGAAGCUGUAGAGAUUGAUCCUCAUCCUUACCAGAACAUUUCAGAUAACAGAUCAGGGGAAAUAACUCACCAACCUAAACAGAAUUAUGAAUUGGUUAAACCUAGCAACGGUAACCAAAGGAUGGAAUAUCUAGAAAAUGAUCUUUAUAUUGGUUCUGAUGAUGUUACUGAUGACGUGAUCGUUGAUGAUAAACUAAAACCUAGCAACGGUAACCAAGGGAUGGAAUAUCUAGAAAAUGAUCUUGAUAUUAGUUCUGAUGAUGCCACUGAUGACGUGGUGGUUGAUGAUAAACUAAAAGUAAAACUUCCGGUUGGGAAAUUUAAGUUGGGACCAAUGGGAGAUAAUUACGCUGUUGUUAAUAAAGGUGGGGAGAUGAUCAAUAAUGAUAAACGUAAUGAACAAUUUAAAAUAGGGCCAUGUGGAGAUAAAUACGCGGUUGUUAACAAAGAGAAAAAGAACAAUAAAGAAGCCGGGGAAGAAUUUAAAAUUGGACCAAGUGGAGAUGAAUAAGCCUGGGUUAAUAAAGAGGGGAGAACAACAAAUAAUUAAUCCACCAUGCAGUUAAUUGUUUAAACAUGUGAAAAAGAACUUUAACCUAUAUCAUCUUGUACAUAGUUUAAAGAUUGUCAGCAUAUUGUAUAUAAUGAUUUCAAGUAUAUAUUUACCUUCUAGUGAAAUACAGAUGUUAUGUUUCAUGUUAUAUUUAGAUUAACGUGAUAUAGAUUUUAUAUUUACAUUAACAUAACACAAGAGAAAUCUUAGCAAAAAUAACAUGGUUCAGUUACGUAAUGACGUGUUUUGGUUUAGUGACCUUUUUUCAAAAGCUACAAAUUCAUGCAACAUUAUUUAAACACGUCACCACGUCACCGUGCUUAAAGAUUCAAUCUGAUGUCUAGCUAAUAAAUUAUAAACUAUAGUCCUAUAUCAUUGUGUGAUAUGAUCGUCUUUAUUAAAAUUUAAACCACAUUUCAUUUCUAUCUGUGAUAACAUAUAUUGUAUUUUUAAACUAUGCCUAUCUUAUUGUUAACUACACUAUGUACUCAACUUUA
Patella vulgata (common limpet) is the source of this 1644-nucleotide long non-coding RNA. RefSeq lists it as uncharacterized. The record is from RefSeq and is a predicted model, not a curated record. The transcript has 4 exons. Lineage: Eukaryota; Metazoa; Mollusca; Gastropoda; Patellidae.